RNAcentral lists this ribosomal RNA (253 nucleotides) under uncultured bacterium. RNAcentral describes it as "partial 16S ribosomal RNA". It matches the Rfam family "Bacterial small subunit ribosomal RNA", at positions 524 to 776 of the family's 1533-position model. The record is from RNAcentral.
UACGAAGGGGGCUAGCGUUGCUCGGAAUGACUGGGCGUAAAGGGCGCGUAGGCGGCUCUCGCAGUCAGGCGUGAAAUCCCCGGGCUCAACCUGGGGGCUGCGCUUGCGACGCGGGGGCUGGAGUGCGGGAGAGGGCCGUGGAAUUCCCAGUGUAGAGGUGAAAUUCGUAGAUAUUGGGAAGAACACCGGUGGCGAAGGCGGCGGCCUGGCCCGCGACUGACGCUGAGGCGCGAAAGCGUGGGGAGCAAACAGG